Molecule: non-coding RNA, 189 nt
Filed under: Clostridiales bacterium PH28_bin88
Lineage: Bacteria; Bacillati; Bacillota; Clostridia; Eubacteriales
Also listed under: 1 other name
Description: Lysine riboswitch aptamer
Rfam family: Lysine riboswitch aptamer
About the family: Riboswitches are metabolite binding domains within certain messenger RNAs that serve as precision sensors for their corresponding targets. Allosteric rearrangement of mRNA structure is mediated by ligand binding, and this results in modulation of gene expression.
Source: Rfam by way of RNAcentral
AGGUGAGGUAGAGGAGCGGGACGUCAAGAGUACUGCCGGGAGAUCAGGGAAUUCGAUGAACCGGUUGGAAAGGGGCGCCCGCCGAAGUCUUAAAGCCCACCCGGGGCUUUUGGGCUGGGCCUGCAUCAAACAGGUGCAGGACUGUCACCAGAGGAGAUCCUGGUCCUCUGGUGGAGCACUAUCUCACGA